Molecule: ribosomal RNA, 253 nt
Filed under: uncultured bacterium
Lineage: Bacteria
Description: partial 16S ribosomal RNA
Rfam family: Bacterial small subunit ribosomal RNA
Source: RNAcentral
UACAGAGGUCUCAAGCGUUGUUCGGAUUCAUUGGGCGUAAAGGGUGCGUAGGCGGCGCGGUAAGUCGGGUGUGAAAUCUUGGAGCUUAACUCCGAAACUGCAUUCGAUACUGCCGUGCUUGAGGACUGGAGAGGAGACUGGAAUUUACGGUGUAGCGGUGAAAUGCGUAGAUAUCGUGGAGAACACCCGUGGCGAAAGCGGGUUUCUGGCAGAUUCCUGACGCUGAGGCGCGAAGGCUAGGGGAGCAAACGGG